GCCCCGAUAACUCAAAUGGAUAGAGUAACGCUCUUCUAAAGCGUAAGUUCUGCGUUCGAAUCGCAGUCGGGGUA
Molecule: transfer RNA, 74 nt
Filed under: Bacteriophage sp.
Description: tRNA-Arg
Rfam family: tRNA
About the family: Transfer RNA (tRNA) molecules are approximately 80 nucleotides in length. Their secondary structure includes four short double-helical elements and three loops (D, anti-codon, and T loops).
Source: RNAcentral